This 380-nucleotide ribosomal RNA is filed under the name uncultured bacterium. RNAcentral describes it as "bacterial SSU rRNA". It matches the Rfam family "Bacterial small subunit ribosomal RNA", at positions 29 to 399 of the family's 1533-position model. The record is from RNAcentral.
AACGAACGCUGGCGGCGCGCCUAACACAUGCAAGUCGAACGAGAAGGCGUAGCAAUACGCUUGUAGAGUGGCGAACGGGUGAGUAAUACGUGGGUGACCUACCCUCGAGUGGGGAAUAACCCGCCGAAAGGCGGGCUAAUGCCGCGUACGCUUCCGUCCUCACGGGGACGGAAGGAAAGCUGUACCGUGGGUACGGCGCUCAAGGAUGGGCUCACGUCCUAUCAGCUUGUUGGUAGGGGUAACGGCCACCAAGGCUACGACGGGUAGCUGGUCUGAGAGGACGAUCAGCCACACUGGCACUGCGACACGGGCCAGACUCCUACGGGAGGCAGCAGUGAGGAAUAUUGCGCAAUGGGCGAAAGCCUGACGCAGCGACGCCG